Camelina sativa (false flax) is the source of this 807-nucleotide non-coding RNA. Lineage: Eukaryota; Viridiplantae; Streptophyta; Magnoliopsida; Brassicales; Brassicaceae. The record is from RefSeq and is a predicted model, not a curated record.
UGAACAAAAACCUCUGUCCUGAUAUCUGAAAAAUGGAUUGUUUUUUUUCAUUUCUUCUACCCAAGAAAACAAACCAUCGUUUCAUCUCCAUUUUCUAUUCGAUCAACCUUAGAGCCGUAAUUUACUUCGUGAGUUUUGACUCUUUUUGAUUAAAUUCACUACUUCUUCUUUCCAGAAAAUAUUUUUGGGAAAAUUAAAUUCACUACUUCUUUCCACAAAAUCUUUUUGAGAAAACUGUUAAAUCCGAAAAGGGGAGAAACUGCAAUUAGUCGAAGGAAUUCGGUGUGCUUAUGGGGUUGAUAAAAUUCUCAAUCAAUUCAAUUUUGACCCAUGAGUUUUUCGAACCGAUUAAUCAAUUCAAUUAGGUUGGUAAGUUGAUUUUGAUUUUGAAUUGCUUUUAUUUAUAGGGAUAUUGUUUAGGGAAACCGAUUAAUCAGUUUCUUCGAUCAAAGAAAACAUCUUUCAUCGUUUCCUCUUUAUCUUUCAUUCGGUCAACCAAAGAUCCCAAAUCUACCAGUCUUCCAAAUCUUUUUCAUAGAGCUGUUAAAUCCGACAUGUUUACACAACCAAUUACUCUAAAGCAAUUCGGUGGGUUUAUGGGGUUGAUAAAAGUGUCAAUCUGAUUGAUUCAGUUUCGCCCACAUACUUUCCCGAAUCAAUUAAUCAAUUCAAUUGGAUUGUAUAUGUUGAUGAAUAUACAAUCAAACCGAAGGAUAUAUAUGAAGACAUCAUAGUAUCCGAAAUCAAAUGAGAUGUACUUUCCUGCAGUCCAAUAUAUUACAAUAGAGUCUAUGUUUGGAAGGGAGA